CCUACGGGUGGCAGCAGUCGAGAAUUAUUCACAAUGGGGGAAACCCUGAUGGUGCGACGCCGCGUGGGGGAAUGAAGGUCUUCGGAUUGUAAACCCCUGUCAUGUGGGAGCAAAUUAAAAAGAUAGUACCACAAGAGGAAGAGACGGCUAACUCUGUGCCAGCAGCCGCGGUAAUACAGAGGUCUCAAGCGUUGUUCGGAAUCACUGGGCGUAAGGCGUGCGUAGGCUGUUUCGUAAGUCGUGUGUGAAAGGCGCGGGCUCAACCCGCGGACGGCACAUGAUACUGCGAGACUAGAGUAAUGGAGGGGGAACCGGAAUUCUCGGUGUGGCAGUGAAAUGCGUAGAUAUCGAGAGGAACACUCGUGGCGAAGGCGGGUUCCUGGACAUUAACUGACGCUGAGGCACGAAGGCCAGGGGAGCGAAAGGGAUUAGAUACCCGAGUAGUC
RNAcentral lists this ribosomal RNA (446 nucleotides) under uncultured bacterium. RNAcentral's name for it is "partial 16S ribosomal RNA". It matches the Rfam family "Bacterial small subunit ribosomal RNA", at positions 338 to 795 of the family's 1533-position model. The record is from RNAcentral.